This 749-nucleotide long non-coding RNA is filed under the name Bos indicus x Bos taurus (hybrid cattle). RNAcentral's name for it is "lncRNA (ENSBIXG00005004121.1)". The record is from RNAcentral. Lineage: Eukaryota; Metazoa; Chordata; Mammalia; Artiodactyla; Bovidae.
CGAAUUGCCUCCCUCACCCUUUCCUCUGGGUCUUUCUUGAGGUUGGCUGGCCCAGCUUCCCGCAGACACGAAGAAGGGAAAUGCUGCCAGGGGUUCCGGCCUCUCCCAGCCUCCCUGAGAAAAUCUGCAUCUUGAUGGGGAGCGGAGCUGAGACCACGGUCCUGAGUCAGAGGACUUGUGGGAUUGGAGCGCCCUCUGCUGGCAAGAUCGAGGUACAGCCGGGAGAGUGGUACACCCUCAGGAGCAGCUGCAUUGAAACCCUGCUGUUAGGAUGCUGGCAGGCGGGUCUAGGGGUUAGUACACAGGCAAGCCUUUCCUGCUGGGCGUGGACACAUUCAAGGACACAUACCAUGCCCUGUAAUUCAGAUGCGAGCGUGUCUUUGCGUACACAUCUUCCAUUUCUGCUGCGCCUGGGAUGACAUCACCUGGGGUCUGCCGCAAUGCAGUUAAUGGAGUUAGCGUCAACUCCACAGGUUAAGCACUGGGUCCCCCACACACUACCCCACUGUGCUUCCAGCCACAAGCGGGAUUCCCCAGGACCAGCACGUCUGACCAGCCAGAAACAAAGUAGUGAGUUCCCAUGACCCUUCAGGUUUGGUAAUUCACUACCCUAAACCCUCAGAACUCACUGUUUAAGUGCUGUUCUGUUGAUGGCAGUUUCAUUUAUUUUAUAAAGGUUACAACUCAGGAGCAGCCAGAUGAAGAGGCCUGCAGGGCAAGACCUGGGGGAGAGGGUGUGGAGUUGGGGC